AGACUUCCAAUAUUCUCCCAGAGGGCAUAUAGUAGGGCCGUCGGUUUUCCGACUAUAGUGAUAAACGCCAUAUGGAAUAGGCUGCAUGGACCCGGGGGCAGUACCCGGCGCCUCCACCACAACCCGAGGAUUUCGGCGCNAUAAUAGAGCGGGUGCCUUAUGGGGGCGAACCAGGUUCGACAUGAGUGAUAAAGAUAUGGUUUUUGCUCGGCAUGAUACCGCCGUUAUCGGGUCAAAAACACAAUUGCCAAUGAUAAUGAAAUGGCACUUGCUGCUUAGUUAUACUAGGUAAGCGCGGCUCGGAGGGCGCCGGGCAACAGAAGCCCUCCACU
Molecule: transfer-messenger RNA, 332 nt
Filed under: Rhodospirillaceae bacterium
Lineage: Bacteria; Pseudomonadati; Pseudomonadota; Alphaproteobacteria; Rhodospirillales; Rhodospirillaceae
Rfam family: Alphaproteobacteria transfer-messenger RNA
About the family: Bacterial tmRNA, also known as 10Sa RNA or SsrA, is named for its dual tRNA and mRNA-like properties. Its role is to liberate the mRNA from a stalled ribosome. To accomplish this part of the tmRNA is used as a reading frame that ends in a translation stop signal.
Source: RNAcentral